RNAcentral lists this ribosomal RNA (791 nucleotides) under uncultured bacterium. RNAcentral's name for it is "bacterial SSU rRNA". It matches the Rfam family "Bacterial small subunit ribosomal RNA", at positions 62 to 813 of the family's 1533-position model. The record is from RNAcentral.
UCGAGCGAGUCUGCCUUGAAGAUCGGAGUGCUUGCACUCUGUGAAACAAGAUACAGGCUAGCGGCGGACGGGUGAGUAACACGUGGGUAACCUGCCCAAGAGAUCGGGAUAACACCUGGAAACAGAUGCUAAUACCGGAUAACAACAGAUGAUGCCUAUCAACUGUUUAAAAGAUGGUUCUGCUAUCACUCUUGGAUGGACCUGCGGUGCAUCAGCUAGUUGGUAGGGUAACGGCCUACCAAGGCGAUGAUGCAUAGCCGAGUUGAGAGACUGAUCGGCCACAUUGGGACUGAGACACGGCCCAAACUCCUACGGGAGGCAGCAGUAGGGAAUCUUCCACAAUGGACGCAAGUCUGAUGGAGCAACGCCGCGUGAGUGAAGAAGGGUUUCGGCUCGUAAAGCUCUGUUGUUGGUGAAGAAGGACAGGGGUAGUAACUGACCUUUGUUUGACGGUAAUCAAUUAGAAAGUCACGGCUAACUACGUGCCAGCAGCCGCGGUAAUACGUAGGUGGCAAGCGUUGUCCGGAUUUAUUGGGCGUAAAGCGAGUGCAGGCGGCUCGAUAAGUCUGAUGUGAAAGCCUUCGGCUCAACCGGAGAAUUGCAUCAGAAACUGUCGAGCUUGAGUACAGAAGAGGAGAGUGGAACUCCAUGUGUAGCGGUGAAAUGCGUAGAUAUAUGGAAGAACACCGGUGGCGAAGGCGGCUCUCUGGUCUGUUACUGACGCUGAGGCUCGAAAGCAUGGGUAGCGAACAGGAUUAGAUACCCUGGUAGUCCAUGCCGUAAACGAUGAG